This 281-nucleotide ribosomal RNA is filed under the name uncultured bacterium. RNAcentral describes it as "partial 16S ribosomal RNA". It matches the Rfam family "Bacterial small subunit ribosomal RNA", at positions 773 to 1060 of the family's 1533-position model. The record is from RNAcentral.
GUGGAUUAGAUACCCUGGUAGUCCACACCGUAAACGAUGAUCACUAGAUUUUGGCCGUAAGGUCAGAGUCCAAGCGAAAGUGUUUAGUGAUCCACCUGGGGAGUACGACCGCAAGGUUGAAACUCAAAGGAAUUGACGGGGGCCCGCACAAGCGGUGGAGCAUGUGGUUUAAUUCGAUGAUACGCGAGGAACCUUACCUGGGCUUGAAAGUUAGUGACCGCUCCUGAAAGGGAGCUUCCCGCAAGGGCACGAAACUAGGUGCUGCACGGCUGUCGACAACU